CUCUAAUUAGUUAUACAUGAAAGUGGAAUGCAUUUUGACACAUCAUGCAUAAAUGAAAAAUAAAUUCUCAUUCUUGUGCUUGAUGUAGUAUCACAAUGGUCGUGUAAUCAUUAUGCACAUAGGGUGGCAGUUAAUUUUUAUAGAACUUUGAGAAUGUUCCAUUGUCUUCUGGCUUCCACAACUUUUUCUUGAGAAGCUGGUUUUAUUGUUAUUCCCUUAAAGAUAUUUUUUUCUCUUGUCUCUAGCUGCCAAUCAGACUUCUUUCUCUUUUAUUUUCAGCAAUUAUAUUUUGAUAUACCCGGGUAUAUAUGUGUGUUGAUGUACCUAUAUGUAUACAGCUUUGUAUUAGUAUUUUGCAGUGAGUUGUUUUUUGUUUGUUUGUGGUGCCUUGUGCAUUCGAGGUAAGCACUCUACCAACUGAACUAUAUCCCCAGCCCUUGCAGUUUUUAAUCUCAUAUUUAGUGUUUUUCAUCUGUGUGUUGUCUCUUCAUAUAUUGCUUCUGCCCCGGUAUGUCUCUUUUGCUCUUGGGAUUCUGAUACUAAUGUUAAACUGAUUCACCAUGCUUUAUAAGUUCCAUAUUUUGUUAUAUUCAUGUUCUAUGCUUUUAGCUUUCCACAUUUAAAUCCAGAUUUUUUUUCUGACCCAUCUUUCAGUUUACUAAUUAUUUCUUUAGCUGGAAUCUGAUCUUCUCUUAAACCUCAUUCACUGAGUUUUAAAUUUCAAUUAUUAUAUUUUUCAGUUCUAGAAUGUCAAUGUACUUCUAUUGCCAAAAGUUUCCACUUGGCCAUUUAUAUCUUCAGAUAUAUUAAUUACAGGGUGUAAUUUUUCAAAGUUUCAUAAUUACAAUGUUUGGCUCUCCAGAGGAUCUCUCUAUGGUUACUAAAAACUAAAGAAGAAACAAACAAUCCUUGUCUUUUUCCAUGUUCUGGUUAUUUUUGUUUAGGCACUAGAUACUGAGUAUAAAACAUUGAUGUGAUAAUUUGAAUCUCUAGAUGAUGUUAUUUUCCUCCAAGAGAAUUUACUUUUGCCUCUGGCAUGUGGUUAGGCUGGGAACGGAUCAUGUAAAUCCAAUCAGAGAACAAACUCUUUCAAAGCUGGCUUUUAUUCUUGUGAUAGGUUGUCUAAUUUGGCACCAUUUUUUCUGAAAGGGUCUCUCCUGAAGGCCUGGGGUGGUUACCAGUGCUAUUCCCUUUACUGAGCCCUGAAUUUUACUUGUCUUCUUUCUUUCUUAUAAAAAUCCCUAAAGUUCUUUAUAGCUUCUAAAUCUUUCAGCCAUAAUUUUCUUCUCAGCUUCUUAGCCUACUAAGAUUUACUUCAGAACUAGAAAAUGCCUUGAAGUAAAAAGUACUGACAAAUAUCAAGCGUUUCUCUCUCUUGAGGUCUUGGUGGCAAGUCCCUUGUUCCAUUGAUAGCUCUAUAAUGCCUUCAAAUAAUUGUUUUUGAAAAAUGAUGUUUUGUCUAGAUGAGUGAUUAGAUUGAAU
This 1482-nucleotide long non-coding RNA is filed under the name Marmota monax (woodchuck). The record is from RNAcentral. Lineage: Eukaryota; Metazoa; Chordata; Mammalia; Rodentia; Sciuridae.